Molecule: ribosomal RNA, 497 nt
Filed under: uncultured bacterium
Lineage: Bacteria
Description: partial 16S ribosomal RNA
Rfam family: Bacterial small subunit ribosomal RNA
Source: RNAcentral
GAUGAACGCUGGCGGCGUGCCUAAUACAUGCAAGUCGAGCGAACGGACGAGAAGCUUGCUUCUCUGAUGUUAGCGGCGGACGGGUGAGUAACACGUGGAUAACCUACCUAUAAGACUGGGAUAACUUCGGGAAACCGGAGCUAAUACCGGAUGAUAUUUUGAACCGCAUGGUUCAAAAGUGAAAGACGGUCUUGCUGUCACUUAUAGAUGGAUCCGCGCUGCAUUAGCUAGUUGGUAAGGUAACGGCUUACCAAGGCAACGAUGCAUAGCCGACCUGAGAGCGUGAUCGGCCACACUGGAACUGAGACACGGUCCAGACUCCUACGGGAGGCAGCAGUAGGGAAUCUUCCGCGAUGGGCGAAAGCCUGACGGAGCAACGCCGCGUGAGUGAUGAAGGUCUUCGGAUCGUAAAACUCUGUUAUUAGGGAAGAACAUAUGUGUAAGGAACUGUGCACAUCUUGACGGUACCUAAUCAGAAAGCCACGGCUAACUACGUG